CACUGAUUCAUAUGACUGCUAAUACUAAGACAAAGUAGCUGCACAUUGGAAUUCUUCCCAUAAAAGGCACAUGGCAUUCAAAUAGCCGAAUCUGUAUGCUUCAUUUUGGACACCCUUGCCUGUUAGCCACUGUGAAGCAAAUAUGAGUUUUCCUUGAAUCUGAGGGGGGCAAUUGACAGCUAAUGCUGACUGGUUACUUUUCUUUGGGUUGAUUAGUUGAAGUUGUUGUCUCUCACGGAUCUCAUAGAAAAUUUCAAGUUCCAUUUUGCAGUCUUUACAUCAAGAGAUAAUAUUCAUUUUAAUACCUUUUU
RNAcentral lists this long non-coding RNA (311 nucleotides) under Bos taurus (domestic cattle). RNAcentral describes it as "long non-coding RNA NONBTAT015260". The record is from RNAcentral. Lineage: Eukaryota; Metazoa; Chordata; Mammalia; Artiodactyla; Bovidae.